ACGCCUUAUACAUGCAAGUCGAACGAAGUAGCAAUACUUAGUGGCAGACGGGUGAGUAACAUGUAGGUAUCUACCCUUUGGUGAGGAAUAACACGAGGAAACUUGUGCUAAUACCUCAUAAGUCUUAACGGAGAAAGCUUUAUGCGCCGAAGGAUGAGCCUGCACUUGAUUAGUUUGUUGGUGGGGUAAUGGCCUACCAAGACUUUGAUCUAUAGCUGAUCUGAGAGGAUGAUCAGCCACAUUGGGACUGAGACACGGCCCAAACUCCUACGGGAGGCAGCAGUAGGGAAUAUUGCACAAUGGAGGAAACUCUGAUGCAGCGAUGCCGCGUGAGUGAAGAAGGCCUUUGGGUUGUAAAGCUCUUUCGUCGGGGAAGAAAAUGACUGUACCCGAAUAAGAAGGUCCGGCUAACUUCGUGCCAGCAGCCGCGGUAAUACGAAGGGACCUAGCGUAGUUCGGAAUUACUGGGCUUAAAGAGUUCGUAGGUGGUUAAAAAAGUUGGUGGUGAAAUCCCAGAGCUUAACUCUGGAACUGCCAUCAAAACUUUUUAGCUAGAGUAUGAUAGAGGAAAGCAGAAUUUCUAGUGUAGAGGUGAAAUUCGUAGAUAUUAGAAAGAAUACCAAUUGCGAAGGCAGCUUUCUGGAUCAUUACUGACGCUGAGGAACGAAAGCAUGGGUAGCGAAGAGGAUUAGAUACCCUCGUAGUCCAUGCCGUAAACGAUGUGUGUUAGACGUUGGAAAUUUAUUUUCAGUGUCGCAGCGAAAGCAUUAAACACACCGCCUGGGGAGUACGACCGC
Molecule: ribosomal RNA, 797 nt
Filed under: uncultured Pelagibacteraceae bacterium
Lineage: Bacteria; Pseudomonadati; Pseudomonadota; Alphaproteobacteria; Candidatus Pelagibacterales; Candidatus Pelagibacteraceae
Description: bacterial SSU rRNA
Rfam family: Bacterial small subunit ribosomal RNA
Source: RNAcentral